Molecule: long non-coding RNA, 37460 nt
Filed under: Lathyrus oleraceus (garden pea)
Lineage: Eukaryota; Viridiplantae; Streptophyta; Magnoliopsida; Fabales; Fabaceae
Description: Pisum sativum (pea) long non-coding RNA (PSAT_LNC010042)
Source: RNAcentral
GGAUGUCAUCUUCGGGCACACCAGAAGAUGAUGUUGCAUGCUGCUCAGAUUGCACACUCUUCUUUUUCUUCCUAUCCUUCUUAUUUUAACUUUUCUUUCCCUCCCCAACCUUGUUCUCUUUCACAAUUUCUUCUUCUAGUUCCCCCAAAAUGUGAUAUGGGAAAAUUGGUACUUCCAUAUCCUCACCAUAACUCCAGUCAUUGAUCUUCUUCUGCCAUUCAAACUUGUCCUUGGAAAACUUGUAAAAAUCCCUUUGGUCCUUCUGCAUUUGUAACAACACUCUCCAUAAUACAUGGUCAAUUUUAAGGCUUGCUUCUUCACCUAUCGACCCUUGUCUUGCCUCCUCCUACCUCUUUCUACCUUUUGGAUUCAUCAAAGUUUGUAUGGCUGCCUUGUUAAAACCAGCGUGAGGUUGACACACAUCAUCAGUGGCUUUCUAAGGCACAUCAUGCCUUUUGUAGAUGGUUGUAAUUAGACAGAGGAAGUACACCAUCCAUUCCUUCUUUUUAGAACAAGCUUAGAUCUCCUACACAAUUAUCUUUGCUACAUUUACUUCACUUAUUGAAGUAAUGUAGUGGAGCAACACCAACCUCGCUUUGCUUAAAUUUUCAUUAUGAGUAGUAUGGCGUAAAUAAUGCUUAACAAACUAGUACCAAACCUUGGACUCAGGGUGCAAACCCAUUAUUCUCAAUAUCUUUUCACCACCAGCCUCAACCCACUUUAUUCCAGGAUUACACAGGGAUUCCAUGUAAAUGUUGUAAUCUUGGUAUUAGAAGUUUCCAACAUAUUUUGGUAGGUCUCCUCGACAUUACCUAAACCAAUUACGAAACUUAGUGUCGCUUCAAGAUAAGACACUUUAACUCCUCGCACCUUCACUUUCUCCUUCUUACUAUUGGUUUCUUUCAUAUUAGCAUAUAAAUCCUACAAAAGUUGGACAUUGUAGGGUUGUAGCUGUUUGCAAAAUUUUGUCCACUUUAUUGCUUUGAGAAGACACCCUAUGUCUCAUGGCAAGCCCAAAUGAUCAUCUUCUAAAUCAAACAUGAAACCCCUCUCCAAAUGCACACUCAUACCAGAAAAAUAAUAAGUGAACACCAUUGAUGAAGAUUUCUAUAUUGGAGUCUUCAUAAUCAGAGAAGAUGACUACCGACGUGGCAUUUUUAUGAGCACAAGCUUUGUAUCUUCCUCCAACAUAUGAUGGUUCAAUUGUGAAAUUAGGGUUAGGAAAAAGAAAGUCUUUGGAAGAGAGAUAUUAAAUUUUUUUAUUGUAAUGAAUGAUGAGGGAUUUGUUGAUUAUGUGUGCUUUAAAGUAGAGAGUGAGGAAAUGAAAGGGUAAAAUUUGAAAACUGCCAAGAGAGAGGGAGAGACAACCAAUUAGGGUUUAUGUAAUGGAUGGUUACUUGUGGUAGUGGUCAUAAUCAUGAGGAGUGGAAGAUAAGCCAUUAAUUGACAUGUCCAUAUGCUGACGUCAUGCACAAGGCUUGAAACAGUGUAUGCAUGCAUGUUAGUUUCUCUCUCCUAUUUUCCCUUUUUCUCUUUAUUUGAAAAUUUUCCCUUUUCAGUGUGCUGCCAAUUUUUCCCUCUCUCUCUCUCUCUAUAUAUAUAUAUAUAUAUAUAUAUAUAUAUAUAUGUUGUGUAAUGACAAAUGCUUCCUUCUACUUGUAGGAUUCCCAUAUUACAGGCAUGACAUCAAUUGAUAGUUACACUACUAAACUUUCUCAAUUCAUCAACAUUAUCUGAAAACACAUUAAACUAAAAAGAAAUAAAAGUUAAUAUGGGUUGCCUCCCAGUAACGCUAUUUUAUAGUCUUGUAGCCUGACUUAAAUAGAAUCAAAAUGAAUCAUUCAAAUCCAAGGUAGCCCAUCUGUUACGAAAGGGUUCACCAAAGUAGAAAUUUACUCUUUUACCAUUCACUUUAAAUUCUUCACUUAUUCUUUCAUUCAAUAAGUCCGCUGCUCCAUGAGGGACCAAACCAUCUAGACUUGAGUUUUCCUAGAAAAAGCUUAAGUCUAGAAUUAAACAAAAGAACAUUUUGACCUUCUACUAAUUCUCUUCUCUGGCACUUCUUGUCUUGCCACCUAUUUGUUUUUUCUUUGUAAAAUUCAACAUUUUCAUAAGAGAACAACCUAUGUUCCUCAAGCUCAUUGAGUUGGAGCAUUCUAGCUUGACCAACAAUAGUCAAAUUGAAAUUCAAAUUUUUUAUGGUCCAAAAUGCUUUGUGCUCUAACUCAAUUGGCAAGUGGAAUGCCUUUCCAUAGACAAGUCUAUAGGGAGACAUGCCUAAAGGAGUUUUGUAAGCAGUCAUGUAAGCCCACACGGCAUUAUCCUGGUGCUUUGACCAAUCUUUCCUUGAUGACAUAACCACUUUAUAUAAUAUCGUUUUUCUUUCUCUAUUUGAGACUUCAGCUUACCCACUACUUUAUGGAUGAUAGGCUGUAGAAACUUUAUGUUUGACUCCAUAUUUUUCCAUCACAUUUUCAAACAAUUUAUUGCAAAAAUGAUUUCUUUCAUCAGUAAUCAUUUCCCUAGGCAUGCCAUGUCUAGAAAAAAAUAUUUUUCACCAAGAAUUUGGUCACAACCUUGGUAUCAUUAGUGGGAGUUGCUUCUGCCUCUAUCCAUUUGAAGGCAUAAUCAACUGCAACUAGUAUGUAUAGAUUUCCAAAAGAUUGAAUGUCCCCAUGAAGUCUCUGCCUCAUACAUAAAAGAAUCAUAUUUCAAGGAUGUUAGUGAGGGGGAAUUUCUUGCCUCAUGGAGAUAUUCCCCAUUCUUUGGCAUCUGUUACAACUCUUAACUAGAUCAUGAGCAUCUUUAAAAAGAGAGGGCCAAAAAUAUCCUGAUUGAAGAACUUUUGUUGUAGUCCUGAUCCCUUCAAACUGUCUUCCAUAGAGAACAUCAUGAGAGGCAUACAAGAUCUGUCGUGCCUCUAGUUUAUCAACACAGGUGCAACUGGUCAACACAUCACUUGUAGAGAAAUGGUUCAUCCCAGAUGUAACUUUUGGUCAUAUGGAAAAACCUCUUCCUUUGUUGAGAUUUGGUAUUAGGUGGGAUGUAUCUACUGACCAGGUAGUUCAUAAUGUCAACAUACCAUGGUGUCACUCCAGAAGUAAUCAACAGUAGUUGCCUAUCAGGAAAGCUUUCUUGAAUUAACUUGUUGUUGUUUCUCUGAACUUCUUCUGGUAAUAUUGAGAGAUGAUCAACAACUAAGUUCUCCACUCCUUUCUUGUCUCUUAUUUCUAGGUCAAUUCUUGUAGUAGUCGCACCCAUCUUAUCAACCUAGUCUUAUCAUUCUUCUUGGAAAUGGGAUACUUAAUUUCAUCAUGAUCUGUAUAGACAACCACCUUUGUUCCUACCAGGUAAGAUCAUAACUUAUCAAAAGUAAACACAGAUGCCAACAGUUCCUUCUCAGUGGUGGUAUAGUUGAUUUAUGUUUCAAUCAAAGUCCGACUAACAUAGUAAAAGCAAGUUAAAAAAAUAAGAGGAUUUAAUAUAAAAGCAGUCAUCGACAAUGACGCCAAAAUUUGACUGGCUGCAAACACAUGAUUUCUAUCAAAAAAGUAAAAAAUGAUCGUUCCACGUACGACCAUUCAGAUUACUAAAUUCUCUUACUAUAAUGUGUUACUAAAACGAUGACUAAUUUUAGUUUGGAAUGAUUAUGAUUGGUUUUAAACAGUUUAUAAAAAGAGGAUUUAUGACUAUGAAUUAUAUUUUAGACUUACUCAUACAAGUUCUUAGUUUAAGUUCGUUACGAGAAAUCCUUGCUUUAUAGAAACAAAUAGAAAAAAAUUGAUAAUUGUCGACACAUUAUAUUUUCCCAAACUAAUGAACGACCUAUUUUUGUAAGCGUAGCUUAUUCAUUUAGGACCCUUUAAGUUUAGCUAUUUUAAUAUGGGACCUUUCUCAAUUAAGUUUGAGAUUCUUUCGUAACCUCAAGGUUAACUAUUUAGACUUUCUAAUUCAGACAUCAAUCAUACUCUUUUUAAUAUAUGAUUAAUGUCUAUGAACAUUUCUACUUUCAAAGAGAUAUACACAUUUAAAGCAAAAAAAUGAAAACAAGCAUGAAUUUUUCGUUGUUAACAUUUUAGCAGAAAACCUAUAUAAGGUAUGUCAUAAGAACAAUUAUCAUGGUCCUAAAUCCUAAAUGACUACUCAUACAUAGUUAAAUUAAAAACAUGCAUAAUAAUGAUUAAAAACAUAAACAUGAUAAAUAAAUAAUAACAAAAUAAUAAAGCAAAUAGCUAUUAAAACCUAGAUUGUAGUGUACAAAGGACCAAAUGUUCCGUAAAGACUUUUACAAACUUGAAGUGCAGCAAAAAAUAAAGCUAAUGCCGAGAACUCUAAGUAAUCUAGUAAAAUAUGACAAAAGUAAGGUAAUGAAAUUUGAGCUUACAAGGAAAUUUAAAAUCCUAGGUACAUUAAGAGAGUCAUAAAUUCAUAUUUAGAGCCCUUAAUCAUAAAAAGAAACAAAUGAGAAUUGAAAAGCCUAAAGAAAACAACUAAAACAAGAAAAGAAUCUAAUGUCAAUGAAGGCACUACGGGCAUAGCAACCACUACAGGAAGGCUAUAGUACCUUCUUCAUUUUUUUUAUAUGGGGCCCCAAAAAUGGAAGGGGGCGAGUCCUUGGGCAACUAUGGCCCGUAGCAGCUACUAUGACUUGAGCAUAAUGGGCUCUGGUUUUUGUAUGUGCUUUUUUCUUUUAGGUAGUCUUCAUGUGAUCCUUUUUAGUUUUUCUCAUAUGCACUAUAUUUGACCUUGUAUCUUCAAAACACUUGAAACAAAGAUAAAGGUAGAAAACAAAAGUAAAACGAACAAAACGAAAUAAAUAUACUAAGAUUGAACUAUGAAAACACACAACAAAAAAACUUAAAAACACUAUUGAUCAAUACCAAUUUCCUUUUUAUGUAAAUUUCCAUAUUGUAAACAUAUGUAAUAGAAUCUGCCAAGAAAUGUUUAUAAUGCAUGAACAUCGACAUAACGACCCAUGCUCUAUGAUAUAUAUAUUGGCAUGAGCCACCUCAUUGAGGAUACUAACCAAUAAUUAUAGAUCUAUGGAGUGUUUCACACUCUCCAAAUAGACUUAAAACAUCUUGGUGAGUGCAUGAGAGAUAUCAGAUCUUGACCUGUGCUGAAUCAAUAAAGUUGUGCUAAGCUUUAAUGAGAUGUAAGAAGAGAAGCAUGGUCAGUUCACAAUUCUUGUAAUCACAACAAAACCUAAAAGACCUUGAUGUAAUCCCAACUCACCGAAUGCAGUUGUGAAGAAGCAAUUUGUAAAUGAUUAAACAUAUCAACCUCGAAAUCAUUGAACAAAAGGUAAAAUGCUAUAGAGAAUAAACAUUCAUGAAGGGAAAUGAAACAUCCAUCAUAUAUAUUGCAUAUCAUCUUGUCUACUUCAGGGAGAAUCACCCUAUAAUAUUUAGAAGGUCCCACCACUGUGAACACAUGGUAUAUACCGCCCCCAUGAACAAAAGUAGAAGCAAUAUCUAGUGUAUCUUAAUCCAUCCACAAUAAUGAGUUAUCUCUUAUGGCUUUAUGAAUUUCAAGUUAGAUAUCUUCCAUUAUAAAGGAUACAACCAACACAUAAAAGUGAAUAAAUACAAAUAUCUUCCCAAGACAUACUUAAAGGUAAAUAUGACAUCCUUAUCAAAGUACACCUACAGGAAAAAGUUCAUCAAGAUAAAAAAAAUAGACAGAUUAGGAGCCCUUGGCCCUCAUAUCUAAAAACCCUAAUAAAGAAAGCAAGAUUGAAAGAAAUAUAGAUUUGUGUGUUACCUUAAAGAAGCAAUUUGGGAGCUCACACGCUGAAAGAGGAGGUGCGAACUGGUCGAAGAUGAAGGCUUAUGCGAGAUAAUGGAAAUAAUGGAAGAAAUUGCAAACAAAGAAGAAGAAUAAGAGUCUCUCAAAUCCACAUGGAAAUGAAAAAGAGAAGAUUAGUAGCCCAAGAACUUCUAAUAGUAAUUUUGCAUCAGUAAACCAUAUGAUAUACCACAUCGGGAAAUGAGAACCGCAAUAUAAACAUUCAAUAUUUAUUCAGGGACUGUUCAUAAUACCCAAGUAUCUUAGGAUAUAGAGAAUAUCAUGACCAUCAUACAUAUGGACACACGUAAGGGCCUCUAUGUGAAACCUCGAUAAUCAAGGGAAAACAUUUAAUGCAUUUGUUCUCAAUGCUAAAGACUUCCCAUCAUGAAUCUUCACCUACUUCUAUUAAGCAAUAUCUUAAAGAUGCACAUUGCAAAGCCCCAAUUCUACAUAAUAAAACAAGGGCUUGAGGAGCAACUGUUCUGGGCCGUUCGCGAGGUCCAUAGAAAAUUUCAAAUAUUGAACCUCGAGCAGAAAGGCACGCUAAGCAAGUAAACCUUCAUUAAAAUAAGAAGCAUGCAAUUCCUCCAUCUGACACAUCAAUCAUCACCAUAUCCAAUAUGAUGAUUUUCCGCGCAACAUGCCAUAUCACACGCAAGCAGUCUCAGUCGCCAUUUGAGAUAUUUUAUUCUCACUCACACAUUACUCUUAAUUUUUCUCACUAAUUUGGACGUUUGAGUGGUAAGUUUGCGGGUCAGCCUCCUUUCCACCGCAUCAGAAGCACGAAUCCACCAUAUUAAGACACAACUUUGCUACCUCGCCUAAAUUUCUAGUUCCUAAUCGAACUAAAUUAUAUAAAAUCAAAUUUGAUUAGAAUGAUCUUUAUGGUUUGAUUUGUUAUUUACAUUUUUUUCUUGUAUUUUCUCUCAUUGUUUAUACAUUUAAAAAAAAAUAUAUCGAGUUCUAUGAGGCCAAUUUGGUCAACUCAAAUUUGAACCUUGUCUUGAAUUUUUACUUCAUUAUUUUUUACUAUUUAUUUUUGAAAAUUCAUUAUCCAAUUCCAUGGGGCUCAUUUCCUAGCUUAAAAUUCGAACUUGAAACUUUGAGAGGAACACGUUCGCAUGUUCUAAACAUUCCUCGACAACCCACUCUAAUUUUUUUAAAGUUAAUUACUUUUAAAAUAGAGAAUGUCAUAGUAUUUGCUAGCAAUAUAAGGAUAUAAUUAAAUUUCACAUAUAAAUAUUUGUGAAAAAUAUCAUGAGUAUAAUAGUAAAAUUUGAUUGAUAUUUGUGAAAGUAUCAUAAGAAUUAUUAUAACGAAAUAGUAUAGUAAUAACAUUUGAUUGAUUGGAUUUGUAAUAUUUGUGAAAAUAUAGUAAAAAUUAGGAUUAAAUAUAUUUGUGAUUCUUCUAAAUAUCUCAAAUUUUAUUUUUAAUCCUUCAAAAUAUUUCCUUUAAAGAAUUGUUCUCCUAAAUUUUUUCAUCCACACUUUUAAUCCCUAAUACUAAAACCGUUGUUAAAACCGUCGCUAAGUCAGUAAUAAACCGUCGCUAAUUCAGUUCGCUAAGUUGUAAAAAUUAUCGUUAAAUUGCAAGAGAAAUUAAAAAUGUGAAUACAAAUUUUUAGAAGAACCAUUUAAAAAAAAUAUUUUAAAAUAACUAAAAACGAAAUUUAAAAUAUUUAAGAGGAUCACAAACAUAUAUUUAACCCUAAAUAUUCUUAUAACGAGAUAGUAUAAUAGUAAAAUUUUAUUUAUUAUAUUUGUUAAACUUUUUGCAUAUCAUUUAAUUUCAUAAUAUAAAAUUCCUUGCAUAAAACUAUGAAGGGAGAGUUAAGAUUGAAAAUACUUACUAUGGAGUAAGCAUAUCCAAACCUAUGUGUGUUAGGAUGUAUGGGUGUGAUUAUUAACGAGCUUAAGAAAAAAAACAAAAAGUGCAAAUUUGAUUCGUGGCUUGUGAGCAAACUUGAAACCCAACACUUGAAACCCAACUUGGAACCAAAUGAAGAGUAGCCAUAACAUUGCUCUCUUUGUCCACUAGUAUAUAGAAAAAUCCAUCAUCUUACCAUAUAGAAAAAUAUUACUAAUUUAAAAGAAAAAAUAUAGAAUUUUAGAAUGUCACAUAUAUCAAGAUUUUGGCCCAACCAUCAUUUUACAAUAGAAAAAAAAAAUGAGUGAGUGAGAGUGAGAUAUCAUGAUGAUUGAAGUUACUACAAACACAAAACCAAAGCAUGAAUUACAGCCAUUCAUUGAAUGAUAUUGCUAUCCAAAAUCUAAUCCUUACUUGUUUGGGCUCAUGAGUCACAACCACACAUCCACGUUGCCACAUCUUAUUUCCUUACUAUACUUCAUACUACAUAAUAAUACUAACAUUUAACUAAGACUUUGCUUCUCUGCAAAACUUCAAUACUACAAACUUCACCUUCAAAAUACUCAGUGUUCCUUGUUGGCUCAAUCAUGGCUUCGGCUACUUUCUCUGUAGCCAAACCAGCUAUUAAGGUCCAGUAUAACUCUAGCUUUACUAUAAAUAAGGUUCAUGCAGAAGCCAUAUUUAUAUUUACACUAGUUUUUCUUUUUCUUUGCUUUGUUUUAGGCAAAUGGGAAAGGCUUCUCUGAAUUCUCUGGUCUCCGCAACUCUUCAAGACAUCUUCCCUUUUCUAGAAAAUCUUCAGAUGAUUUUCAUUCUCUUGUUACCUUCCAGACCAAUGCAGUAAGUUCCUUAUCUCCAUUGAAUGACUAAUACUUUUGUUAUUGUAAAAAUGAAGAACUUGAUCAUAGUAUGUGUAAGAAAAAACCCUAGGGUCCCGAGAGAGUGAUCCUGAGAGUGUGAUUCUCUCAAGAUCUCAAAUUUGAAUUCUGCUAGGUGCUAACAAUGAUCCCCGCUAGUGGACGGUGGGAUUCGAAAAAAUUAAGUGACAUGUUUUACAAUUUUGCAUCUAUCUAUCUAUCAAUUUAUAUAUGUAUAUUUGAAGGUUGGAAGUAGUGGAGGACACAAGAAAAGUCUUGUAGUGGAAGCAAAACAACUGAAGGUAGCCAUAAAUGGAUUUGGAAGAAUUGGAAGGAACUUCUUGAGAUGUUGGCAUGGUCGCAAGGACUCGCCUCUUGAUGUCAUUGCCAUCAAUGACACCGGAGGUGUAAAGCAAGCUUCUCACCUUCUCAAGUAUGAUUCCACACUUGGAAUCUUUGAUGCUGAUGUUAAGCCUGUUGGUACUGAUGGCAUCUCAGUUGAUGGAAAGGUUAUCAAAGUUGUCUCGGACCGCAACCCUGCCAACCUUCCUUGGAAGUAAGCUAGUCUCUCAUUCACUGAUUUAUGAACAUGUUAUAAGUUAUUUCAAUAAGCUUUGUCUCAUAAAUGAUCAUGUUAGUAGAUAAGUUUAAAUAUAUCAAUCUAAAUAGACCCUUAAGUAGAUAAGAACUUCUCCAAUGCUCAUGGAGAAAAUUGUCUAAAGAAUAUACAUUAGUGAUUGAUCAAUAAGGACAUUUAAAUCAUACAUCAUCAUUGUGUAUCGAUUGUUGGUUACCGAUUUAUUAAGCAGCGACACACAGGCUAUAAAGAUUGCUAUUGAUAUUUUGCAGGGAGUUGGGGAUAGACUUGGUGAUUGAAGGAACUGGAGUGUUUGUGGACAGAGAAGGUGCAGGGAGGCACAUUACAGCAGGGGCUAAGAAGGUUCUCAUCACUGCCCCCGGAAAAGGAGACAUCCCUACUUAUGUGGUUGGUGUCAAUGCUGAUGCUUACACCCACGCCGACGACAUUAUCAGCAAUGCUUCUUGCACCACUAACUGCCUUGCUCCCUUUGUCAAGGUCCUUGAUCAGAAAUUCGGUAAUGUACCUUAUCACCACAUUUUCUAACAAGGAUAUGUACUUUUUUGUUUGUAACAUAUGAAGAUAUAUUGGGCAAUAGGUAUUAUCAAGGGUACCAUGACUACCACUCACUCCUACACCGGUGACCAACGGCUUCUUGACGCGAGCCACCGUGACCUAAGGCGUGCGAGAGCAGCAGCCCUCAACAUAGUCCCAACAUCAACAGGAGCAGCUAAAGCAGUGGCCCUUGUCCUCCCAACACUCAAAGGCAAGCUCAACGGUAUUGCGCUUCGUGUGCCAACACCAAACGUUUCGGUGGUGGACCUCGUCGUUCAAGUCUCAAAGAAGACAUUUGCUGAAGAAGUGAAUGAGGCUUUUAGAGAGAGUGCAGCCAAGGAGCUGACUGGUAUUCUCUCGGUCUGUGACGAGCCACUCGUGUCUGUAGAUUUUAGGUGCACCGAUGUGUCGUCUACCGUUGAUUCGUCAUUGACAAUGGUCAUGGGCGAUGACUUGGUUAAGGUGAUUGCUUGGUAUGAUAAUGAGUGGGGUUACUCACAAAGGGUUGUUGAUUUGGCUGACAUUGUUGCCAAUAACUGGAAGUAAGAGCCAAAUAAGGUUUGUUAAUUAUAUCUAUAUCUAUAUAUAUAUGUACGUACCAUGUGCCAUUGUAAUUUUGUACACUUCUUGCUUAUUUUUUUCUUUCUAAACUUGUAUUGAGAAACAGAACCAUCAAUUUUCUCUAGCUCCUCAUUGUGCAAUAAAUUGUUUUACCUUGCUGAAAUAUACAUGUUGAUACUAAGCUUCCAAAUCUAUAUAUGCACCAUUGCACAUUGAUAUAACCAUUGCAUAUUGUUAUAAUCUUAUUGGGGUUUGUAAAUUAUAUGAGAAAAUAAUAAAUUUCACUCUAAACAAAAUAAUGGAAAAAAUAACAUAAAUACCACGAGUAUCCUAAGUGUAUCCGAUUCGGGGUGCGUACUAGAUAUUGAUAUGCCAUCAGUUUAGAAGUACCCGUGCUUCAUAGACUUUCACGAGAUACCCACAUAAAGUUGUUUUGCCAUUUUAUUCACAUGGUGUUGAAUAGGGGGCAGGAUGGAUCAAGGUUGAUACCCUUCUUAAAAAGGUUGCUUCUCAAAGAAAGGAUGUUACUAGUUAGCUUCUAGAUGAAGUUUUCGGCUCUUUUUGGAAUAUGUACUUGCCAACUUUUUUUCCUUCCAAAUUCCACUAUUUCUGCAACUACAAUUCUUAGGCAUCUGCUUUGAUUUUUCUUUCCAAGUAGAUGGUGGGGGAGAUCUUAGGGAAUACUCCCCUCACUCUUGACAAUCCCAAAUGAGAUCAUCACUAUGAGUUUUACUUAAAUCUUAUUGGUGACUGUUUUUAACUAAGGGUUUGUUUGCUAGGGGGAUUUUUAGAGGGUGGAAGGGAGUGGAGGGGAUGAGAAAAAUAUUUUAAAUAAAAAGUUUUUUCAUUCCAUAUUCAUCAAAAAUCUUAAAAUAAUGUGCGUGAGUUAUUGUUGUUCUCAAUACUCUCCCAAAUGUGAGUCUAUCAAUAAUACACUUGUGUCCUCCCUUUAUUCAAUCAGACUCUGAUAUCAAUUUGUUGAGUCAUAAGGAUAAGCAUCAACAUUAGGUUAAGAGCAACAUGCAACUAAGAUAAACAUUACAUAUCCAUAUAAAAAAAACUGAAGGUGAUAGGUGUAUGAGUUCUCCCAGUUAUAAAUGUUCAAGUCUCCACAUUUAUAAGUAAUGUGAGACUCCAACUCACAUUUGACUUAUUAUUCUUAAAAAAUUUGGGGGGUCAACGUCAAGAUGAGGGAGAUUUUUACUUUGGAGAUUUUCUUUAUAAGUAACACACUUUUGUGAGAGACAUGUCACGUAUUCAUUCAAAAUCUUAAGAUGAUAUAUGUGCGGAUUCUCCUACUUAUAAAUGGUAAGUUUCCACAUUUUUAAUCAAUAUGAAACUUCCUCGUUUUGGAGAUAUGUUAAAUUACAAUUCAAUAUAUUAACAAAAUUAACCUCAAUUUUUUUUAUAAAAAUUAUAAUUUAUCCCUAAAAUAUUAAAAGUUAAGUUUUCUAUCAAUUUUUAUAUGUUAAUUUUUUUUUGUGGUUAAAAGUUUGUUUAUCGCUCAAAUUGAUUUCAUAUGCUACGAUCACGGUUUUUUCUGUUUAUUUUUCAAAUCAAUAUCAUUUUUACUUUUAUCUUUUCACAUAAAUUUUAUUAUUUUCAUUAUAAUGAUUAUACUUUUUUAUGUGUUUUAUUUUGUUUUUCUGUUAUUGUUUUUUGAUUAUUGUUUUAUUAUUAUUUUUGUAAAUAUAUUAAUAUUUUUCUUUAACAUAAUUUUCUUUAAAUUUUAUUGAAUUCAAUUAUAUUUUAAAAUUGUAUAUUAUUAUCGUUACGUUUUUACAAAAUAUCUUAUGAUGUUCUAUGAUUGAAUUUUGUUAAUGAAUUUAUGUUCGAAUUAUGAGUGGUAAUUAUCAUUAUAUUUCGUUAAUGAAUUUGUGUUUGAAUUAUGAACGAUAAAUAUCAUGAUUCUUAUAAUAAAAUUACAAGCAUAAAAACGUAAAUUAAUUUUAAAAUACCUCAUCUCUCUUUAUGAACUAAACAUGUUUGUAACUAAAAUUCCACCUUUCCCCUUUCAUAUUUUGAACCAAACAUAUAUGUAAAUCAAAUCAUUCCCCUCCCUUCUAUUGAAAAUAUAAUUCUUUGUGUCAAAAUAGCAUUUCGACAGAGUCUAUUGUUGUUGAAAUGCUCUGCAUGCAAAAAUUGUAUAAUUGUCGAAAAGAAGAAUUUAUUGACAGAAAGUUAAACUUAGCAUUUAUUUUGUGUUUUAGCUGAGUUAGUUAGUUUGUUAGAGAUUACUUAGUGUGAAAGCAAUCUCAGCAUAUAAAUAAGGAAGUACCCUAUCAUUGUAAUAACACAGUUGCAUAGAGAAAAUAUUGAAUAAAACUUUAGUUUGAAGGCAAAGAGAAACUCUUCAGAAAUAUUCUCUUGCUUUCCCUUUUCUCUCAAACCCUAGCCCCUCUUACUUCCCAAUUCAUCUUUUCUUUUCUUCUCAAAUUUCUAUGCAUCGAAAUCAUCUCGCAACCAAGAAGUGAUUGAUGCACUCAAGUGAAGAGUAAAGCACAAGAGGCGGAAUCAAUCGAAAGAAUUGAUUCUUGUUCAUCAAGAUUGAUUCAGAAUUCUCUAAAUUUUGGUGAAAUUCCAACACCAGGAAUUUGUCAAAAAUUCCAAUAUCUGGUAUCUAGAGUAAUGCUGUAUGAUUCUUGGGAAGCAUAGCACGACGAAUCAUCCGAACGUGUAUUUUCCAACAAGUCUUUCAAUUCUGAAUAGUAAGAAUUAUGAUAAUUUGUGUAAGCAGAUGAAGAUUGUAUUUUGUUAUCAAGACAUGUGGGAUCUUGUGAAGGAAGGGGUAACGACACUUGUAGAAAACACGACGAAUGAAGGAAAGGCUGUACACAAAGAAUUGAAGAAGAAAGAUUAUAAAACUCUUUUUAUAAUUCAUCAAUGUGUUGAUCCAGAAAACUUCAAAAAGUUGAGUGAUGUUGAAUCAGCGAAAGAAGCAUGGGAAAUUUUGCAGAAAUCGUUUGGAGGCGCUGAGAAGGUGAUAGAGGUGAGGUUACAAACUCACAAAAGAAUGUAUGAAUUUCUUCAGAUGGAAGAAGUUGAAAGCAUAACUGAUUUUUUCAAAUCAAGGUAUGUGGAGAAUUGUGGAGAUCAAGAUCAGUUGUCGCAAAAAUCUUGAGGUCAUUGUGUAGCACCUCAAAUUUGCACCUCCCAUUUGUAUACACAUUUCGUUUGUAGGUCAUUAACAUUGCAUUGUCAUUGCAUAGUCCAUUGCAUCUCAUCAGUCAAGACUGGUCAGGAGAUUCAACUGUGCAAGGCAACAAGAGCAUUUUCCAUGAAAUCAAAGCCCUAGGGUGGUUCCAAUGAGCUUACAUUACCCAAGGAUCAUUUUGAAGUAGCUUGGCCAAGUGUUGAAGGCUCAGAAUUCAUCAGUGCAUGUGCAAGUCAUCUGAGGCCUAUAAAAGUCAACAGGAGUCAACAGAAGUCAACAGAAGUCAAUUGCAAAGUCAACUGUGGAUUUGGAGGUGGGAAGUGAUUAGAGAUGCUUCAUUCAUGUUCAGACAAGUCUCAUUUGACAUUUCAAACACUCACAUUGAAGAAUUUGAAGUCAGGACAAGACUUUCCCAAAAUAGCAAGUGACCUGUAAUUUGAAAUUUCCAAAAAUGGAAAGGUUUUGGACCAACUUCAACUCAAGAUUACAUCAUCAAGAAAGCUUCAAAUGAAAUUUUGUCCAACAUGAAAGUUGAAGAUCUUUCUCUCCCAUUUCCAAAAGUUUUGGACCAACUUCAACUCAAGAUUACAUCAUCAAGAAAGCUUCAAAUGAAAUUUUGUCCAACAUGAAAGUUGAAGAUCUUUCUCUCCCAUUUCCAAAAAGUCCAAGAUCAUGGAUUUAUGAUGUGUGGUUGAGGAGAUAUCAUCCAGUCAUGACAAAGUGUGUUUGAAAAUUCAAAUGGGCAUAACUUUUGAACCAAGGCUCCAAUUUGGGUGGUUAUUUUUGCAUUUUGUUCAUCAUAACAUGUACUUUCCAAACAUCUCAUUACAUGGCAUAAAUUUCCUUUGCAUGAUCAUGUGCUCACUCAUGAAGUUUUUGGAAGAAAAAUUUCAUAAAAUCAAUUUGAUGGAUCAUAUGCAUAAAAUUCCAAUUCAAAUGUGUGCAUGGAGUAAUUUUAAGUGAUUUUGGGCCUUAUGUUGGUACUAUUCACGCAUGCAUGAAGUGCAUGAGGUGAAAAUACCAUUUUGCACAUACACCUCAUAAGUUGUUAAUCUUGAUUAGCUUUGGUUAAAACAGAUUUUCAGCAUCAUUAGUAAGUGGUAUAUAAGGUUAAUCUUAACUGCAUUCAUGAUGAACAUCCAUUUCAGAUCUGAAUCUUGAAUUUGAUCAAAAAUUUUCUCUCAAAAUAUUUUCCAAAUUCUUCAUAUAAACACUCAGUUUCUUGCAUUAUUCUGGAUCCUGGAAAAGAUUAGAGUGAGAUUGCACGUAAAUCUUGGAGCAUUCAUGCCAUAUUUAACCACACAUGAAGCUUGAAGCAUCCAUGGAAUUUUCAAAUUGAGCUGGAACCACACGUGCUGGAGCUUCAAUCUUUUCACCAAUCAUCUCACCAAGCAUUGCAAAGGAUUUUUGGACCAUCACAAGCCUUGAAACAAGCCAAACCCGAAUCUGCUCGUCAAGAGGUAGGAUUUUUUAUUCUCAUAAUUCUCAAAUCCAUGUGUAUGUUUGUGUAGAUCUCGUGUUGUUGAGAAUUCUGGUGGAAAAAUCACUUAAAAUGAUGCAAUAUCCAUGAAGUUAUGCAUGAUUGAAGUUUGAAGUGCAAGAAUGUUCUUCUUCGAUUUGAUCAUGUUAUUAGGAAUUAGGAAUAAAUGUUUCUUGAUCUAUGAUCCACGUGAAAAAUGCUUUUGAAUGCUAUGCUUGUUUUUAAUUUCUGGAGUUUUUUUGGAUUUAUGGAAUUUGAAGAUGAAUCUUCAUCUUCUUCGUGAUGAAGAUGAUGAAUCUUCAUAGUUUGCUACGAAUGUUCUUCAGCCAGCCACGGUUUAGCUACGAAAUCCUGUGUUUGCUACGAAUUCUAGGCGCUUAGGGUUUUAAGACCAAAACGGUGUCGUUUUGGUGAGCGCGCCCAUAUUUGAAACUGGCUGAGGUUCGAGUCCCACCGAGCGCAUAUUUUCAAAUUGUUUAGCCUUUUCACAUGUUCCCUCCAUUAUUCAUGCUUUGUACAUUUUUGAAAUCCAAUUUUUCUCCCAACUUCAAAAAAUCAUAUAAAAUGGAAAAAUGCUCCAAUUGAUCCCCACAUAUUUUGCAAAAUGCUCCUUAUUCUAUCUAGUUUUUUAUGAGCAUGAAUUUACAAGUUGUGCCUGGCUGGAAAAAUAUUUUGUUCUAGGAUGAUUGGAUACAUAUGCAUGUGUGACCUUGCCUUGCUUAUCUUAUUGUAAAAUGCUCAAAAAUGAUCUAAUGGCUUUGAAAUUUUGUGUGUAGCUUCUUGACACAUUGAUGAACAUUUUGGCUUUGGUUUGACAUUUUUCUCAUGAUCCAUUUCUGUUUUAUGCUUGUGCUAACUUGGUGUGACAAUUUGUGUCACACAUUUGGUUGUCUGAUUUGUACAAUGUGAUUGCCAUGCCAAAUGAUCUCCAAUGCUUCUGAUUUUUUGUAUGUUGAUCAUGUUAGAUGUCUUGAAUGUGCAUGAUUUUUUCCAGAAUUAUUUGAAUCAUUUCUGUUUUGAUUGAGAUUUUUCAUUCAUGUUGAUCAUUUGGAUGCUUUGAAUUGGUCAUUGACUUCACAUGCUUGGUACAUGAACUUGCCUAUUGAUUAUGAUUUGGGUCUUUUUAGGACUUAUUAUUGAGUGAUUAAACAUGCUUUGUGUUGAGUUUGAGGUUCUGUUUUGGAUUUUUGAUCCUCUUUUGACCCUAGGCUUUGACCUAGUGGUUUGGACUUACCAUUUGGGUUGUGAAUUUCAGGUUCAAGUGUACAUUUCCAUGAUUGGAGCGGCUCCUUCAUUUAAGCUUGGUCAAUUGUUGUCAUGUUCUAACCUUUGUGUGUUUUGUAGGCUUUGAGAACAAUUCACUUGUGCUUGUGGCUUGCUCAUUGUUGUCUGAUGAUGCUUUGUCUGUCUGCUUGUUAUUAACUGUUGAUUGUUUGUCUGUACAGUUGAACUGAUUGGUUUAGACGUUUCCACAGGUACCUAAGUUGCUUUGAGUUCAUUUGAACUUGCUUGGCAUUGCUUGUGGUUUGCAUACCACUGAGGUAUAAUCUCUUGACUUCAUGUAGUCUGGAAGACCUACUAUUAUUGGUAGGCACCUGUCUGAAGCCCUCCUUAAGAGGCAAUGCUUGUGUUUGUUUAAUUUUGUGCCAAGCAGGUAAAGACCUCUUAAGAGGCAAUUGGCAGAUAAAAGUGAUAACAUGAAAUAAUAUCACGUUCUAGGACUCGAUUUAAUUAAAUUAUAUUAUUAUUUACUUCAGUUUAUUUCAUUUUACGCGAUAUUACUCGGUAUUUUCUUUCUAUUUGUCUCAGGUAGCUUAUUUGAAAAGGAAGUGAAAAAGGAAGAAAAGGAUGUGAAAAAGGAAUGAAAAGAAGCAAAUAUCAAAAGCCAAAGCCCANNNNNNNNNNNNNNNNNNNNNNNNNNNNNNNNNNNNNNNNNNNNNNNNNNNNNNNNNNNNNNNNNNNNNNNNNNNNNNNNNNNNNNNNNNNNNNNNUGACCUAGUGGUUUGGACUUACCAUUUGGGUUGUGAAUUUCAGGUUCAAGUGUACAUUUCCAUGAUUGGAGUGGCUCCUUCAUUUAAGCUUGGUCAAUUGUUGUCAUGUGCUAACCUUUGUGUGUUUUGUAGGCUUUGAGAACAAUUCACUUGUGCUUGUGGCUUGCUCAUUGUUGUCUGAUGAUGCUUUGUCUGUCUGCUUGUUAUUAACUGUUGAUUGUUUGUCUGUACAGUUGAACUGAUUGGUUUAGACGUUUCCACAGGUACCUAAGUUGCUUUGAGUUCAUUUGAACUUGCUUGGCAUUGCUUGUGGUUUGCAUACCACUGAGGUAUAAUCUCUUGACUUCAUGUAGUCUGGAAGACCUACUAUUAUUGGUAGGCACCUGUCUGAAGCCCUCCUUAAGAGGCAAUGCUUGUGUUUGUUUAAUUUUGUGCCAAGCAGGUAAAGACCUCUUAAGAGGCAAUUGGCAGAUAAAAGUGAUAACAUGAAAUAAUAUCACGUUCUAGGACUCGAUUUAAUUAAAUUAUAUUAUUAUUUACUUCAGUUUAUUUCAUUUUACGCGAUAUUACUCGGUAUUUUCUUUCUAUUUGUCUCAGGUAGCUUAUUUGAAAAGGAAGUGAAAAAGGAAGAAAAGGAUGUGAAAAAGGAAUGAAAAGAAGCAAAUAUCAAAAGCCAAAGCCCAACCCAAAAAGCACAGGCGCUACGCCUGUGACGAGCGUCACACAGGCUGUGACGAGCGUCACGCUCUGCCCACUUGUGUUACGAGCGUAACACAUGGUGUGACGGACGUCACACCAUUCUCCUAUAUUUUUGGCUCCAGAAGCGCAACAAAGACGUUGAGGCCUAUUGUUACGCUUGACCGUUUGCAACGUGAAGGCUAUGUACACGGAAAACCUUUGGAAGCAGUUACAGAAGUGACUAAUAUAAAUAGUAGCUUUUGGCAAAAACCCUACGUCGCUCUUUUUCUGCUUUUUCCUCGGCCGUUUCUCUUUUCCGCGCUUUUUCUCUUCCAGCAGUGCAAGCAUAUUUUACAGCAUUAUUUUUACAGUCUUUAUUUUUUUUCCUUUGCAAUUUCUAUUUUCCUUUCCAGCAAUUAAUUAAUUUUUUGCACAAUAGUUUCUACACCGGAAACUAUUGUGUACCUUUCACUAGAUCUAACCUUACGUUAGACCCUAGAUUUUUAUUCCUUCACUUUUAUUUUUCUGUCUGAUUGAAGAAUUCAAGAACAAAUCCAACCGGUCUGUGGUGGAUGUUCAAGACUNAUCAAAGUAUUACCCGCCUUAGCUUUACGAAGUAACCUUAGAAAAUGGUAUAUCGAUUCAUAAGUCCCUGUGGGAUCGAUAUCUUUUAAAACUACGCGAUAGAACUGUGCACUUGCAGUUUGUACCCUAAAUUCGACUCAUAAAGUCGCGAUCAAGUUUUUGGCGCCGUUGCCGGGGACUUUUAUUAAGUCGAUAUCGUAACUCUUCUGUUACGUUGUAGAGACUAAGGUUUUUCUUUUUCUUUUCUUUCUUUCGUUGAUUUGUAUGCCACACACUCGCUCACAAGGCGAGCCGUACUACUUACGAAUCAACGAUAUCGAACUAUAUCUCCGAGUCUUACGACGAAUUCGGGAAUAUCAUGCUGCAAACAAUCUCCCUCCUAGCGAAAUUCCUGAUUUCAAAAAUCUUUUCCCUUCAGUACCCGAGAUGGCAGAACCAGCUCGUGCUCUUCGAGAUUACGCCGCUCCAUCGCAAGAUGAGCCGAAUUCGAGUAUUGCUCCACCCGCAAUCGAAGCAAACAACUUCGAACUUAAACCUUCACUGUUGCAGGCAGUGCAACAGAACCAAUUCUCUGGAAAUCCUACCGAGGAUCCAAACCUUCAUUUAUCCGUAUUUGUCCAAUACGCUGAUACUGUUAAAGCUAAUGGUGUCACUUCAGAGGCAAUUCGACUUCGUCUUUUUCCUUUCUCAUUAAGAGAUAGCGCUAGAAGAUGGCUUCAAUCUCUUCCUUCCAACUCAGUCACCACAUGGAACGAGUUGAAGAAAGUUUUUCUUGCCCGAUAUUUUCCGCCAAGCAAAACAGCUAUGUUAAGAGCCCAGAUAAACGGAUUUAAACAGAAAGACAACGAGUCUCUUUUCGAAGCAUGGGAAAGAUACAAAGACAUGAUGAGACUUUGUCCACACCAUGGUUUGGAAGACUGGUUAGUAAUUCACACAUUUUAUAAUGGUCUCUUAUACAACACAAGGUUAACAAUAGACGCCGCUGCAGGUGGUGCACUAAUGAANNNNNNNNNNNNNNNNNNNNNNNNNNNNNNNNNNNNNNNNNNNNNNNNNNNNNNNNNNNNNNNNNNNNNNNNNNNNNNNNNNNNNNNNNNNNNNNNNNNNNNNNNNNNNNNNNNNNNNNNNNNNNNNNNNNNNNNNNNNNNNNNNNNNNNNNNNNNNNNNNNNNNNNNNNNNNNNNNNNNNNNNNNNNNNNNNNNNNNNNNNNNNNNNNNNNNNNNNNNNNNNNNNNNNNNNNNNNNNNNNNNNNNNNNNNNNNNNNNNNNNNNNNNNNNNNNNNNNNNNNNNNNNNNNNNNNNNNNNNNNNNNNNNNNNNNNNNNNNNNNNNNNNNNNNNNNNNNNNNNNNNNNNNNNNNNNNNNNNNNNNNNNNNNNNNNNNNNNNNNNNNNNNNNNNNNNNNNNNNNNNNNNNNNNNNNNNNNNNNNNNNNNNNNNNNNNNNNNNNNNNNNNNNNNNNNNNNNNNNNNNNNNNNNNNNNNNNNNNNNNNNNNNNNNNNNNNNNNNNNNNNNNNNNNNUUACACCCAUUAUACUGGGAAGACCGUUCUUAGCAACUGCCGGUGCGAUCAUAGACGUAAAACGAGGACGACUCACUUUCGAAGUAGGAGAAGAGAAAAUUGAGUUCAUUCUUUCCCAAUUUUUGAAAGCACCUGCAAUAGAAGAUACAUGUUACUUCAUGGAUAUCAUCGAUGAAUGCAUAAAAGAAACAGAGUUAGAAAAAGACAAAUCAUCUGACUAUCUUGUAGAAGACAAACUUAACCAAUGUCUAGCAAUAACACCGGACCCUACGCAAUGCCUUAAGAAACCAACCCUAGACCUAAAAACACUUCCCAAAAAUCUAAGAUAUGAAUUCCUAGACUUAGAACUUGAACGACCAGUGAUAGUUAAUGCAGACCUAGGAAAACUCGAAACAGAAAAACUCCUAUAUAUCUUAAGAAAAUAUCCAACUGCACUAGGAUACAACAUCACCGAUCUUAAAGGAAUAAGUCCUUCUAUCUGCAUGCACCGCAUCAUGCUAGAAGAAGACUGUAAAACUUCUAGGGAACACCAGAGGAGACUAAACCCGAUCCUGAGUGAGGUAGUGAAGAAGGAAAUAACCAAGUUAUCAGAGGCAGGUAUCAUAUAUCCUAUAUCUGAUAGCAAAUGGGUUAGUCCUGUACACGUAGUACCAAAGAAAGGAGGUGUAACAGUUAUUGAAAAUGAAAAAGGAGAAACUAUAACCAAACGAAUCGAANNNNNNNNNNNNNNNNNNNNNNNNNNNNNNNNNNNNNNNNNNNNNNNNNNNNNNNNNNNNNNNNNNNNNNNNNNNNNNNNNNNNNNNNNNNNNNNNNNNNAUGAAGCGAUGUCCAUUCGAAGCAGUAGGCUCAAUCUUCCCAAUCAUAUCAAUGCCCCACAUGGCAAACGGCCAAGGCGAAUUCAUGACAUUCAGAGGGCUUGGUGGUACAUGCACCUUAUCAGCAUAGAUUUGACACUUAUGGCACUUCCGAGCAUACUUGAAACAAUCGGAUUCCAUAGUCAUCCAGUAAUAACCCGCUCUCAACAAUUUCUUAGCCAUUGCAUGUCCGCCGGCAUGAGUACCGAAGGAACCUUCAUGAACUUCUUGCAUCAACAUGUCCGCCUCGGGUUUGUCCACGCAUCUGAGCAAGACCAUGUCAAAGUUUCUCUUAUACAACACAUCAUCCUGAUUCAAAUAGAAGCUUCCAGCUAGCCUUCUCAGGGUUUUCUUGUCAUUCUUAGACGCACCUUCAGGAUGCUCCUGAGUCUUGAGGAAAUUCUUGAUGUCAUAAUACCAUGGCUUCUCAUCAAUCGCAACAGACUCGGCUGCAAACACAUACGCAGGCCUCUCCAGUCGAUUCACCUCAAUAUGUGGCACAUGAUUCCACCAAUGAACUUUGAUCAUGGACGACAAAGUAGCCAAAGCAUCAGCCAUUUGAUUCUCAUCCCGGGGGACAUGAUACAGCUUCACUUUCUUGAAGAACGUCAGUAUUCUUCUGGUGUAAUCUCUAUACGGAAUCAAAUGCGGCUGGUUCGUAUUCCAAUCUCCAUUGACUUGAUUGACCACUAGAGCUGAAUCUCCAUAAAUAUCAAGUGUUUUGAUCCUCAGAUCAAUGGCCUCUUCGAUCCCCAUGAUACAAGCCUCAUACUCAGCUUCAUUGUUGGUGACGUCAAACGUCAAUCUGGCAGAAAAAGGUAUAUGAGCACCUUUAGGAUUGAUCAACACAGCCCCAACACCGUUACCGUUCAUAUUCACAGCCCCAUCAAACAUCAGUGUCCAUUUGUCAUCCGGGUCCGGUCCUUCCUCGACAAGAGGCUCUUCGCAGUCUUUCAUCUUGAGAUACAUGAUGUCUUCAUCAGGGAAUUCAAACAUCAUAGGCUGAUAAUCUUCAAUCGGUUGCUCGGCGAGGUAGUCUGACAGAAUACUACCUUUGAUGGCCUUUUGUGACGUGUACUGAAUAUCAUAUUCUGUUAGAAUCAUCUGCCAACGAGCAACGCGUCCGGUGAGAGCCGGUUUCUCAAAGAUGUACUUCACUGGAUCCAUCUUAGAAAUCAAUAAGGUAGUAUGGUUCAACAUAUACUGCCUCAGUCGGCGAGCAGCCCAGGCCAAAGCACAGCAAGUUUUCUCGAGCAGUGAAUAUCUUGUUUCACAGUCGGUAAACUUUUUGCUAAGGUAGUAUAUGGCAUGCUCUUUUCGACCAGACUCGUCAUGCUGUCCCAAUACACACCCCAUCGAGUUCUCCGUCACUGACAGGUACAUUAUCAGAGGUCUCCCUGGAACUGGAGGUAUAAGGAUUGGAGGUUUCUGUAAAUACUCUUUAAUCUUGUCAAAAGCUUUCUGACAAUCAUCAUUCCACUUGAUCGCUUGAUUCUUUCUAAGCAGUUUGAAAAUUGGUUCACACGUGGCAGUUAGGUGAGAUAUGAACCUUGCAAUGUAGUUCAAUCUCCCUAAAAACCCACGGACUUGCUUCUCCGUUUUCGGUUCAGGCAUCUCUUGAAUAGCUUUGACUUUCGCUGGAUCAACCUCAAUCCCUUUCUCACUGACAAUGAAGCCUAAAAGCUUCCCUGAUCUCACCCCAAACGUACACUUGUUCGGAUUCAACCUCAGCUUGAACUUUCUCAACCGGUCAAACAGCUUCUGCAAAUUAACCAGGUGCUCCUCUUCUGUCUGCGACUUCGCAAUCAUAUCAUCUACGUACACUUCAAUUUCUUUGUGCAUCAUGUCAUGAAAAAGAGUCGUCAUUGCCCUCUGAUAGGUAGCACCAGCAUUCUUUAGCCCAAAUGGCAUCACCUUAUAGCAGAACGUGCCCCAAGGUGUAAUGAAUGUCGUCUUUUCCAUGUCCUCUGGCGCCAUCUUGAUCUGAUUAUAUCCAGAGAAACCAUCCAUGAAAGAGAAUACCGAGGAUUGAGCCGUAUUAUCAACCAAUACAUCAAUGUGAGGUAAUGGGAAAUCAUCUUUCGGACUCGCUCUAUUCAAAUCCCGGUAAUCGACACACAUUCUGACUUUACCAUCCUUCUUCGGCACAGGAACGAUGUUGGCCACCCAUGGGGGAUAACUUGUAACAGCCAAAAAACCUGCAUCCCACUGCUUCUGAACCUCUUCCUUGAUCUUAGUUGCCAUAUCAGGACUCGUUCUACGAAGCUUCUGCUUGACCGAAGGACAUCCUUCUCUAAGAGGUAAUCGAUGCACCACAAUGUCUGUAUCCAACCCAGGCAUAUCUUGAUAUGACCAGGCGAAUAUCUCCACAUAUUCUCUCAGCAUCUCAAUCAGCCUCCUCUUGACAGAGUCCUCUAAAGCAGCCCCAAUCUUGAUUUCUCUUUUGGCGUCCUCAGUACCCAAAUUAACAACCUCCAACUCCUCCUGAUGAGGUUGGAUGACCCUUUCCUCCUGCUUCAGCAAUCUGACCAAUUCUGCAGGGAGUUCACAGUCUUCCUCACUCUCCUCUUCAGCUUGGUAGAUGGGAUUGUCGAAAUCAUACUGAGCCAUAACAGAACUGUUCAUAGUGAAUGCCAUAAGAUCGCUUCUGCAUGUUUAAUGCUUUGUUUUAGAAAAAAGAGUUCAAUAAAGUCACAAAAAACAAAAACAUUGCCAUUUUUAUUUUUUUUGAAAAAAGAUGAAAACAAAAAAUAGAAAGACAGGGAUCACAAAGUUUGAUUUCAAAAAAUGUCCUUCAUUAAUGAUAAUCAUUAAAACAUGAUGAGGCCCUACAAUGAAUCACUACGCCUUGGGCAGAUCGUAGGAUUUUCAUGCAAAAUGACAAAACAACAGAAAAUUACUCUGUCAGAAGAGUAACUUGAACCACUUCUUCAGCCGUCCAGUUGUUGAUAGACCCCCCUGGUGCACACGGGCGAACCCAGUUGUCCAAAUCACAAUCACUGUCACAGUCUUCACUACCGGUUGCAGAGACGUCGCCAUGAUUCAUCAGCCCAGCGCUGGUAAAGGUACUCGGACCCGCUUGACCAUUCUGCUCUGCUUGGAGAGGCUCAUAACCAACGCCAAAUUUGUCUUCUUUGACAGGCAAGUCCACCAUCUUGCCCCAGCCUUCAGCUUUGCCAGAAUCAACAACCUCCUUAGCCUGCUUGUAAGAAGUAAUUGAAGCACCUGGCUUCCUCUGCUCAGCGUACGCCACUUUCUCAAGAGCCACAGUCUCAAACGCCUGGCAUAAGGUUUCGUGGAUCUCGCCAUCCACCUCAACAUAUUUGAACGAGGAUAGAUGACUCACCAGAAUCUCUUCUUCACCGCACACAGUCACAAUCUGACCGUUCCAGACAUACUUGAGCUUUUGAUGGAGAGUCGACGAGACUGCCCCUGCUGCAUGAAUCCAUGGACGCCCCAAUAAACAACUAUAGGCGGGCUGGAUGUCCAUAACAUAGAAGAUGAUAUCGAAUACCUCAGGACCUAUCUUCACAGGCAAGGUAACUUCCCCACACACAGAACGUUUGGAUCCGUCGAAAGCACGAACGAUCAGGUCACUGGGAGUAAGCACAAACCCUUCCACAUCAAUCUUCUUCAGAAUCUGCUUAGGCAACACAUUCAGCGACGACCCGGUGUCUACCAAUACGUGAGACAACACUGCCCCCUUGCACUCCAUGGUGAUGUGCAAGGCUUUGUUAUGGUUCCGCCCUUCAGGCGGUAAGUCCAGGUUGGUGAAUCCUACACCAUGCCUGGUGCUCACAUUGGCCAUCACACCCUCCAGUUGAUUGACAGAAAUCUCCUGAGGCACGUAAGCCAGAUUCAACAUCUUCAGCAAGGCAUUACGGUGUGCCUCAGAGCACAACAACAGUGAAAGUAUAGAAAUCUUGGACGGAGUUUGAUUCAACUGAUCUACAAUCUUGUAGUCACUCUUCUUGAUUAUCUUCAUAAACUCCUCCACGUCCUUCUCAAAUGACCCCUCGGGCGCUUCCUUCUGGACAGGUUCUUCCUCAACCACAGCUUGCUUACCCUUUGCUUUGGCGAGAGCCUCAGCAUUAUUGUCCCUCAAAGGCUGCGGUGCGAACAGACGACCGCUUCUGGUAAAACCUCCUGGACCCCCUACAUUAUCCACAGCCGGACCAACAGUUGCAGGAACUCUAUUCGGUAAACCAAUUGUCACUGGAGUUUGAUUCACUGGUCUCGUCUGACUUUCAGCCCUUCUGUAACUGCGGUGAGCAUUAUCAUACUUCCACGGCACGGCUCUACUAUUCUCAACAGCCCUUCUUCCAGACGCGGCGAUAGUAGUUGGAGCACUGAUGGUUACAGGCACGGGAAUGGUAACUGGGGUACCAUUUGUUGCAGGUGCACUAACGACCCUUUGUCCACGUUCUUCAGACGGUUUAAAGUAAAUGGUGAUAGUUGACACUGUUCCACGAUCUUUUACAGCCCUACUGAAUUGCAAACAACCCUCAUCCAUCAUACCCUGGAUACCGGCCCUUAACUGGUCGCAACCAUUCUCAGAUUCUGCACAGCCCAAACAAUCCUCAUCACAGCCCGAGUAGACACCCCCAUUCAGCAGACGGCCCUUCACAACUAGCAGAGAAGUCUGAACAUCAUCAACAUUAACAACCAGAUCUUCAGCUUCUUUCCCCUCAAUAUUGUUCACUCUAUGCCCACCAUGCUGAGGCAUAGGGUUGUUUACGACGUUAGGCACUGGAGCGAAGUUGAUCGCCUUGGCAUCGAUCAAAUCUUGGACCUUGUGCUGGAGAGCCCGACACUUCUCAGUAUGAUGCCCUGGUGCCCCAGAGUGAAAGUCACAACGGACGUUGGCGUCGUACCCAGGAGGCAAUACUGUAGGCGGAGCCAUUGUACGCAACUCAACCAUCCCCAACCUGAGUAGUUCGGGCAGCAGUUCGGCGUACGACAUGGGUAGCGAAUCAAAACGUCGAUCAGGCAUCCUUUGUCUGGGCUGAUACGGACGUUGUUGUUGUUGUUGUUGUUGCGGUUGUUGAACUCUUUGUUGUUGUUGUUGACGAGGUUGAGGUGCCGGAAUGGUUACUGCAGCAGCUUGACGGUAUUCAAUUCUGUUCUGAUCUCUGCGGUGUUGAACAGCAUUAGUUUCACCCUCUCUUCGACGAGGUGCCCCAGCAAACGGCUUCUUAGAAGAAGAGGAACCAGCAUCUUGGAUCUUCCCAGUUUUAAUCAAGCUCUCAGUCCUCUCUCCACAAAUGACAACAUCAGAAAAACUACCGAAUGGGCAGCUCCCCAUCCGGUCCAUAAACACACCUUGAAGAGUACCGAUAAACAUAUCUGUCAACUCCCUCUCCAGCAUAGGGGGUUGAACUCUAGCAGCCAGUUCACGCCACCUCUGGGCAUACUCCUUGAAGCUUUCAUUGGAUUUCUGACAAAGACUCUGCAGCUGAGUCCGGCUCGGUGCCAUGUCCAUGUUGUGUUUGUAUUGCCUCAAAAAGGCCUCACCCAGAUCCCUCCAACAGCGGAUAGAAUCUCUCUUCAAUUCCAUGUACCAGUCCAAAGAAGCCCCAGAUAGACUAUCUUGGAAAAAAUACAUCCACAUCUUUUCAUCAUCGGUAUACGCAGAGAUCUUUCGAUAAUAAGCCUGCACAUGGGUGCGAGGGCAAGAAGUACCGUUGUAUUUGUCGAAGGACGGUGCUUUGAACUUGUGAGGGAUUCUCAAACCUUCAACCAAUCCCAUAUUGGUAACAUCAAAACCGAGAGAAUUUUGACUUUCCAUAGCACGGAUCUUCUCAGCAAGAGCCUCAACUUUACGGUCUCUCUCAUUAACCCUUCCCAGAACGUCUUCGUCUUCACUGAGCAGAGAGAACAUAUCCUCUUGUCUGUCAACAAUCGGAACAGGAUUACGGGCCGGAGCACGGACUACUCUGGCAUUAGCGGCAUCUGGAACAAUAGGUUGACCGUUGAUUCGAAUACCCCCCAACUCAUCACCUACAGCAUAGUUGUUGACGGGUACAGCAGCAGCAACAUUGUUAUCAUUGACCGGGCCUCCCUCUGGCGGAGCAUGGUUGAUCGGUGGAUUUGCAGCCUCUUGUCUCUGAACCAUGGCUCGGAGUUCUUCUUGACCUUGCGCAACCCCUUGCAUCAUAUUCAUAAACUGGGCCAUGCUAGCCUUCAUCUCAGCCAACUCAGCUUGAAAUUGAUCCAUACUUCUCUGUUGAUUCAGUCUUGUUGAGUAGCGGUGCGGACGUUGAUCAGCUAUCCUGCCUGAACAGGAACCAAGAGUGAGAAGUCACGACCAAGAACACCUGUUAUGCAAAAUGAUAUGAGUAUGAUGCUAAUGAUGCGUAUGAUGCACAUGAUAUGCUCAUUUCUCAGGCAUUCAAAGAGCCUGACCCAUCCUGAAAAGAUGGCAACCUGCAGCAACAAGAGAACAAACAGAUACAAGGAAAAUGAGAACAACAGGGAAAUACUGACAACCUUAUCCAUACAUAAGGGUGAAAAGGUCAAUACCACCGAGUCAACAGAAAAUUCGCAUAAACAGAGUACAAAGAAAAGAAUCCCAUCCAACAAGCCUGGAGGUGAUUCUCAACAAAGAAGAUCCAAAGACGGAGUACAAACAAAUGAAUCCCAUCCAACAAGCCUGGAGGUGAUUCUCAACAAAACACAAACAAAGAUACAAACUAAGACAGACGGUCUUCCGGAAUGAGGGUCUUCAGGUAAUGGCACUGGUCUAUCAACAGUGUGCAUUCUGAACAUUCUGGUAGAGGGGUGAUCUUCUCCUUCAACUGUCUUCUGAGCUCCAAGACUUCUCCUCCAAGAUAGUCCUCUGAUUUCUGUCUCAACUCCAUCUCCUUCUUCAACUGAGCGUCUUUGUCUCUGAGUUGCUUCUCUAGGUCUCUGAUCUUCUUCUGAUAGUUGGCUUCUGCUCUCUGCAGUCUCAAGCGCUCCCUAUGCUCCUCAUCCAACAUAGACUCUAUCUCCUCAUAUGAUCUCUUCUUGCUCCUUGCUCUGCUAGCAUCUUCUCCUUGCACUUCCCUGAGUUGAUGGGCCAUGUGCAACCUAUCAGCUUUGGCUUUGUACAACUCCAUAUGGGUGUCUUGCUCCUUCUCCCUCAACCGACGACUCUCCAUCAGAGCUUGCUUAUAGUGCUCAGCAGGCACACUAUCAGCAAGAAUCAAGGGUGGUUGCUCUUGCAACGGUUCCAUCCUAUCGUAGGGUAGCAACAAAGUUUCCACUCUCUUCUUUACCCAAUCAGUGUAAUCAGGCAUGGCUAUGGCAAACUUCUUCCCUAGGACGGAUCCAUCUCUGACACCAAUGGACUUCCAAGCUCUUCCAAUCUGCUCCAACCUAACAGGGUCAUCCUUCUUCUCAAAGUACACACUCUCAGCUAUCUCAGCUUCAAGUGGUCUUCUACUCAUAACAAAACCUAACUGGCGAAGAGAAAGAACUGGAUUAUAAUUUAUACAACCCUUGGUCCCCACGAGUGGCACAUUCCGGAAUUCUCCACAGCUCAUAAUAACAUUCUUCACAUUCAUCCGGUAAGAUUGCCAUCUGAUGUCAUAAGAGGUGAGCGACAUGACCCUCUGAGUCCACUUGAGAGUGCUCUGAGUGUCCACAAAGGGUCCACUACCAGGCAGGAGUGACAUGAACCAUCUAAACAGGAGAGGUAGACAGCACCUGAUGGCUCCACCCUUACCAUGCCUACUGUGGAUGGCAUAGUAAGUAUCAGCUAACAAGGUGGGGACUGGAUUUCCUCUGAUGAAAAUGCUGAUGGCAGCAUGGUCAACAAAAUUUGGCAUACUGGGAAAUAGGAUGAUUCCAUAUAUCAAGGCGGCAAGCUGUGCGUGAAAAGCUUCCCAAUUUCCCUUCUCUGCUUCAUCUCUGGCUAUUCUCAACAGAAACUUCAAAGGCAGACCUACUACUUCCCCACAGGGCUUCCAAUUCUCACCAACUUCCUCAAUACUCAACCGGAGGGCUCUGGCAAUCAAUCUGAAGUCAACCUCCUUUGGGACGUCCAAGAAGGGAGUCUGAUGCUGAAUAGGGAUACUCAACAGGAUAGAGUAUUCCUCAAGGGUAGGUGCAAGCUGAUAAUCCUGGAAAGUGAAGCAUCUGAGCUCUGGGUCAUAAAACUGAAGUAGUGUCUACAGAGGCACUGGAUCUACUACUGUCUUCAAUACUGUCAAGAUAUCUCCGUACCGCCCAACAAAACUCUUCAGUUGGUCAUCUAUCACGAGGCUACCCAACUCAACUAGCGGAGUCAACGGCUCACGGGUGGAACUGUGAGGAACAGGUCCUUCCCGCUUCAGCUCAGGAACUGUUUGUCAUCUCUAUCAGUAGACAGACUCCUGGAAUGUACGCUGAGAAAAUGAAUAAUGCAGCCCAGAGAGAUUAGUUUUUCUUUUUCCUCUUUUUUUUGAUGAUUUUUUUGAUUUUUUUUUUUUGCGUUCUUUGAAAUAAAUAGCCCUAAUGAUGCACAAUGCAGACUGGACUGGCUGGUUGUGGGCAACUCUGAUACUAAGGUCAGAGCUUCAGUCCAAAAUCGGAACAAUAAAUCCCCAACUUAAGGUUAACUGAACACUUGUCUGAAACACAAAGUCACACAUCAGAAACCAAGUCACCAAACAGAAACCGGAGUCACCGCAAACGGUACCUGUAAUGAAAUAUCCCCUAUCCCAGUCAUUUUUUUUUUCUCACGGUGUAGUCUAGGCCAGGGUAAAGCUGAGAGAACGCAGCAUAAAUAACCUUUCGCAAAUACUAUUCAUAUACACACCACGAAAGUAUGUAACGACAGUAAUCCACCAGGGUCUGAACUGCUCGUGAAUCAAAUGUUCGCUAAGUGGCCCAUACCUAACGCCGCUUGCCCAUGAUACCUAUUGCCUAAUGCAUCCUAGAUUUUCACAUCAUGUCUGGGUAUUGGACGCUUCUUACCUCACUGACUCCCCCCCACACAGAGGAAAAAAACACGACAGGCCAUCCAGUAAUGAAUAAAUGAAUAAGUGAAAUGCCAAACAAUCAAUGCAACCACAAUCAAAGCAAAGCAAUAAAUGUACAGUAUAUACAUGAAUGCAAUAAAAAAUACAACAAGCAGAAAAGCACAAACCCUAAUCCUAGAGAGCGCUAGGAGAGACUCGCUCAAGGGAAGAUGGACGCAGCAGAGGUCAACUUCUCUAUAUCCCCAGCAGAGUCGCCAGCUGUAACGUGCAAAAUUAAAUUGACCGCCGGAAAAAAACCUCAGUUACGAGGAAGAGGAAAAGCAUUACAACAGACACCACAGCCACACACAAUUCCUAAUGUCGUUUAUGACCUUCAUUUCACCAAAAGCGCAAGAGAACGGCACAUCAGAAGUCAUAAGCAUGGAAGAACUAUGUGAGUUCUGCGAAAGCAGUAUGCCAGCAGAGAACUAUCAGAAAAGAAUGAGUCAUGAUUAUAUAUGCCGAGGAAAGAGACCAUCAGAGUCAUACAGACUCCUCUAUCCACAACGGGUUAAGAUAUACCACGUACGGAGGACCAGCAUCGAACAAAGGAAAGAUUUUGAGAGGAUGCUAGGACACCACUAGCUCACACAUCACACACCACACUGGCUAAAAGAGACAAAAGAAACAGAACAGCGAGAACUGAACACGGACGAGACGUGCAGAUCCUGGGAGCUUCCACUUAGAAUUACAAUCUAGUGGAGACAAAUAAGAUCCACUAGCAGUCAAGUAGAGUAGAGAGAAAAGAAAAUUGCAUAACAACCUAGAGGUUGAGAACAGACAUGCAACUUCGCUUUGAAGGGAAACCAGAUAGAUGUCUCUACAUUCUAUCUUCUCGAGCAUAAUCAUAGUCACUCCUGAACGACGAUAGCAAGCACUGCGAGGAAAGCGAUAUCGGAGAAGUCUUCGGACUUGAGACGCACACAUACAACAAGAGUAGCAAAGCAAACAAUGGAGACCCGACACUGCGCGCCUAAUCAGCGUGGAACUUACCUCGGGCAACAUGCAAUACACACACGACACGCACAAACACAGGAAGGAGAACAAUACCAGAUACCACAGCGAGCUGGAAGACACGCAUAUAUAAGACACUAUUCAAGAGGGAUGGUGCUCGCCUUAUCGAGCGAGCUCGAAGACACCACAGGCAGACAUGUAUCAAACACGCUAUAAUUUAGGCGACUCGGAGACUCAAGCACUAACACUAGGGCAAACCCCCACAAAUACACAAAAAAAAGGGUGCAGAGCACCACGCACAGAGAUCAGCUCAAUCUCGCUGCGCGCUACAUACUCAUAGAACCUGCGCUCAAAGGAGAUACGAGAGGCGACUGGUAGUUUCCACAGGUUAAUGGAACAAAUCAAGGCGAAGUGAAUAGAACAGGAAAUAUGAGCACUAACAAAAGAUACAGACGCGGUGCACAGACCACAUAGUAGAGACGACAGCACUCGAUCAAGACCGAAGAACUGAUUUCACUCGAUGCAGAGAAGCAUAGAGCUACGUAAUUAAUCAAAGUGAUUUCCUGAGCUAACACUGGCACAAGUGAGACACACAGACAUCCCUAUCUGAACUGCACACGAGAGAUAAGCACAGCCACAACACCACACUUUAACUUGCAACAGGGAAGCAAGCCAAGCAAACACACUAUAAACGGUAUAGCACAGGAACAGCCACACUACUAAAAACCACACUCAAAGCACACCUCAAAUCUUAACACAGGAAUUGCAAGUCAAGACACAAAUCACUACACAGCCACAAGAAUAACAACACAAUAACUCGGACACAGCCAGUGUGGCUCAACAGGAUACAGGAUCUUAAAGUACGGAACUCGGCGAGAUCGUAAUCAAGCUAUACACAACAACCAUCUCUGGAAGCUUACGAGUGAUGUUAGGCUCUAACGACUGCAUCUGAAGAACACAAGAGGUAAAGACUACCAGCACGAGAUAGGAGUGAGAUCUAGGCAAGAUAAGAUAUCCAUAUGCGCGUAAAUCACCCAUUGGACGGCGGAGAGCCACCAAGCGACAACGCAAUGAUUGUACGGGUUCAGAAAGAGAGAACCCAAUAACGGGCAUAAUAGAAUACUGUUCACGAUCAACUGUAGCAAUUGUAACAAGAUCUUGGGUUUUUAUACUGUAAAUGCUACAUAAACAAUAGCUAUGUAUCAAGACAAAAAAAACGCAGAGACACGAAAAGAAAUUCUCCCAUUCAGAUAGAAGGGAUGCAGGAAUUACAGAUGGAUUAAUACCCUCUCACUAUAUACCACCAACUAAAACUGGAUAUCACUUCAGGACGCAGUAUUGAGAGACUACUAUAGACAUAGGACAUAAACUUAACACCUAGCACAAUACAUUUAGCACACUAAAGCAGGAACAUAUAAACUAGACAGAACUAGAACCAAAAGAUCACAGGCCAGUUCUUCAGACUCAUGAAGUAAAGAGAGCAGAACAUAUACCCUCUCGUCAAGGACCACGAUCAUAUACAAUUCGAACAAUGACAGAAGCACACGAUUAAAAGUUCAAGAACUAAGCAAGAUCACAUAAAGUACCCUGAGAACAGUAACGCACAAAUGUUAGUAUAAGUCACAAACUACUUAUAAUCAAAACCAAACCAGAAAAUGACAACCGAAACCUAAAUUAAUGCACACCUAACAGUCAAUUCUCAGAGCAGGAGCACAUAAAAGAACUUGUGCAAAGCACAUAAAGACAUAAGCAUUGAUAGAGAUGCGCAAGCUCACCUCACUCAACACAAUCAAAAAAGAAUAUAUUACUUAAGACAAGUCUCAGCAAAGAUCGCUACACCUCAUGAAGCUCAUCUCUAGUAAUGUCAAAAAUCCAUGCAACACUUAAGCUCAGGAGUAGUAGCAGGAAACUAGGACAAUUCAGCACACUAGGGCAAAUAGAAUAAGACAACAAAAACUAUACAAGCAAAGAUGAGUAUAUCAAAUCAUGUUCGCAACAAUGCUAAGAAACAACCAAUAGCGGAUAUCCACCCAUUCAAUCAAAUAACACAAGACAUCAUUAAAUAUGACAAUGAGCUCAACAUGGCCAAUUUAGAAAGCUCAUAGAAGUCAAACCAGCAGACUUGCACACAAACAACAUGCUUAACAAGUCCAACAACUUCACCAAAUAGAGAAUCUUCAUAAGAUCAAAAACAACCAUAAACACCACACAUGUCAUCCCUUCGUUUGAUAAAGAAAAUUACUAGUAAUGAAUAUGCAUAGGUAAUACAAUUCCAAGUCCUAACUCUCGACAAGUGGAUUAGGCAGUCAAUGAAUAAUCAGAGAAAGUCAAAGCACAUUGAUCUGCUAUAGCAAGACAAAAACCCAUGAACACACUAACAUUCAGUUCUAUAAGACAAAUGCAAAAGUCAAGAGACAGGAAAUAUAAACGAUCAAGUGAUAUGGGGACUAACAACCACAAAGCACUGGAGAGUCUAGUUAAUCUCAUCAUGACCACACAACUUUCAUGGUACCUAGCAAACCAAAAUAAAACUACUGAUGAAAUUCAAAAUCGAAAAUCGAGAAAACAGUUCUGAUCCAACCAAAGUACACACACACAGAUUGGAACUAGGAGACAACCAGCGAAGACGACAGCACAUCCAGAUACAAUUAGGGAAAUUCCCACAAAUAAAUAUAUCAAAUAAAAGGAUCACCCAAUGGUAUAACUAGAGACACAAUAACACACGUAGGUCACUAUUGACGCAAAACACCAACACACACUUGAGAUACACAAGAAGCAUGUUGAAAUUUCCGAAUCAUCGAGAGUGGCGACAUCACAAAUGAUGAGGAAUGCAAAUGAUUCACAUUCUCACAGAACAAUACAAAUUUAAAAUCAUAACUAAAAACUCCUCAAAUAAUAAUUACAAUAAAACACUUUACAACACAAAAUAUCAUCACAAUUGAGUGCUGUUAUUAUAAUGAACAAAAAUGUUGAGAGAAGACUCGAGGUAUGAAAGAGAGGCAAACAUUCUCAUCUAUUUCCACAAGUUAGAGAUGGCAAUGAGAAAACAAAUUAUAUAGGUCACCCAGACACCACCACAACCCUAGAGAGAAACAAAUAAAAAACAACACAUACCACAAAUUUCUGAAAAUAAUGAAUCAUAAAGUAGAGAGAUACAUAGCGAUGAAACACAAAAAAUCCCACGCAGAAUUUGCGAGAAUCUCAAAAUGUAGGAAACCAUGAUUUGCGAAGAUGGUGAGCUUUAAACAAUGAAAGUAACACUUAAUUGCAUAAAUUACAAAAGCAAGAAUGGCCAGAUUUAGAAUGUGUAUAUUUCUUCCAUCUAAUCACAUUAAUAAAACACAAGAAGUCGUUAAUGCAGAAGAACUCGAAAUAUGUGUAACAUUGGUUGAAUGGCGAAGGAAACGCCGAGCACAUGCUCCACCGAGAAAGAGAAAACAUCUGCCACAGCCCAACAAAUGCACUAAUGACCUAAGUCGGGUUUCACUGCAAACCAUUCACAUCGAUCUUUCUUAUCAAGUUCAAAAACAACCACAUUCCACCAAAAGUACACAAUCUUAAACCGGCACAAUCAGGGCGUGACCACUCAAUACACACAGACACACAUCUCUAACCAAAACGAACAAAUGAAAUGCACGAUUGCUUAUCUAUCCAGUUAUACUGCAAAAUAAAGUUUGGAUCCAUCCAACGUCCACAUUCUCAAAAUAAUCUCAACACAUGAACUAACCAGCUUGUAAAACUAAGACCACACCACCAUUAUUAACAGAAGACACAUAACAUCGACCAGGACCUACAUAUAUAAAGCCAUGCCAACUAUUACCACCAACAAGGGAGUUCAAAUCUUCAUCACCAAUUUGGAGAUUACACGAUAAGUCGGUCGCAAAGAUGCUUAUCUGAUGUUAUGAAGAGAAUGAAAACACAGCUUUGCAACACGACACAAUAACCUUCCAUCAAGUGAACCGAAAUAGUCAGCGACAAGCCCCUUUGAACCUCACUGAAGACUAUAGGAUACCUGAGUCUCAACAAUCUCUGCCAUGGGAAUGAAUGCAUAGCGUGAGACACCAGACAGUGGUGGACACAUAGGCUAUACAGGUGGAUGAAUGACUUCUCGCCUUACAAGCCAAACAAUGAGCUUCGAUGAUGUUUACAUGCAUAGGCCCAAAGUUUUGUCACCACUCCAAGUACACGAUAUUGCGACUCGAUCUUUGGCACAACACGAUCGUAAAAAGCUAUGCGCAAUGAUUAUGCGCACAACUCGCACUGGGUGUACGGGUUAAUCAACUUCAUCCAAACACAUAUGCUCUACUGGUUUUUUAUGACAGGAAAUGGUGGAAAACAUUGCCCUCAAGCCAGGCCAAAUUUCUAGAAUCAUUGUGCCACACUACUGUGACAAAGAAAAGUCACAGCACGAAAGGCGUGAGAGUUUUUCUCACGCAUCGAUAUAGCAAAAGCGUUAUGGAUCUGAUCUUGCGUAUGGCCAAUCUAGGCACAGCAAGGACCACGCCGUGAGUAUAUCCGAUAGAAGUUCGGAUGGAGUCCAUAACAUAACACAAGCUACAACACCCAUUCACUACCGAGGCCUAUGGUUUGUGAGAGAAAGAAUUCUAUGGGACAGUUCCAUAUGAUAAUAAAACUGUUCAGAAACGUUCGACGGUUUAAAAAUGAAUGAAAGGUGCGUUGUGUCUGAUUGCCUAUGGCCUAGCAGGGUUGAAAGCACAAUGCAAGCGCUCAGGUUUAGUUCAUUGUGAGCUUUGACAGUUUUUUUGGUAAACUGCAAGUGAGGUGAGUUUGAAUGACAUGAUGAAUGCAGCAGGUUGGUCUCUGCUAUGCUGCUACUCUGCUACUUACGCUCGUCACAAGACAGAAGAGACGAGGAAAUAUGGUAUUAAGGCAAAAGCCAGGUUUGUGUGGAGGUUUUGACAGAGCAAUCACAAAUGCCACAAAAGAUGAGUUUUUAGCAUAUGAAGUUUGUUGGUCCCUGCUGUUGGUUCCAUGACAGAAAAAUGAGGUUUUAAUUGCUGUUUCAUGUUGCUUGGAUGAGGAGAACCAUAAGCUUGCUAGGGUUACUUGAGAUUUUGGGAGAUCAGAAAAAUGGCCAAGGAUGUGUAUCAAUGAAUGAGUGAAGGUUGUUGCAGUGCAAGGGUUUGUAGCAUGACAGAAAAUGAUAACAAGACUGCUAUGUGCAGUACCAAGCAUGGCAAGGUUUUCUGUCCUUUUGGAAAUUCUUUUGACAGCUCUUUUAAAAUGCAACAGCAGGGUGAGAUUUUGAGAGAGUGACCAUGCUUCUUCUGCUGUACAAUGGCUGCUAUUAGUGUUCAUGAUGCAUAAACCUGCUGUUGGAAGUACCAAGCAUGGCAAGGCUUUUGUCCUUUGAGGAUUUUUUGGAGAUUUUGAAGAUUGGCCAAAGUGAAGUUUUUUAGCAAUUAAUUUUCUGUUGGCUUUGCCUGCUAUUACUGACUUCUCAUGACAGAAAUCAUGGACAAUUCUGCUGCCUUUGUGGUAACAAGGCAUGGCUCAUGGAUAUGUGGGAUAUGGUGUUGCAAAUUGUACUUUUCUUCCCAUUUUCAAGCAACUAGGCAUGGCUAUGUGAUGGGUGCAAGUACUUGCACGAAUUUGACUUUGUACAUGCUGCAAAUAACAUUCCAAGCAAGUUCCAAUUGGCCCCAAGUGUUAAAAAUGCAUAAUUCAAAAAGUCAACCAUUGGUCAAACUUGAAUUUCACAUAUGCUAGGUUCAAAAAUGCCAUUUUGAUUGGCAAGGUUUUGUUCAUGAAAUUUAUAUUUUUGAAAGAGGAGAUCAAAUGUGACUUGUAGGAAAAAACCCCACCCAAAUUGGCCAAACGGUUUGAGAGAUAUGGCCUUUGAAGUUCAAGAAUUUCUGAAAUCGAUUCGAUCAUAAUCUGCCAACCACACAUGGGAAUGAGAGUUCUUGGACUUUUUGGAAAUGGAGAACAAGAUCUUCAACUUUCAUGUUGGCAAAAUUCAUUUGAAGCUUGUAUCAUGAUGUAAGUUUGAGGAUCAAGACUUUCCAUUUUUUGUAAGUUUCAGUUACAGGCCCAUUCCAUUUUUGGAAAUUUUUGCUCUGGCUUCAAAUUCUUCCACGAUGGUGUUGACAUGAUAUAUGAGGACUAUUUGGCCAUGAAUGAGCUCUCACAAACCAAUUCCAGUCAUCAAAUCACUGAUUAAAUGGACAUUUGACCAACAGUUGACUUUAGGGUUUUGGCUGACUGCGCAUGGACUGAUACUUCCAAACCCUAAUUCCUGAGACCUUGACUUCAAAUGAUGUCCCAAGUUGUAUGGACUCUUGAUUAUUGAUCAUGGUGCCCAAAUCCCACAAGAAUGGCCACCAUCCACUGCUUUGACUGACUGUGGACUGUCUAGGGUUUUGACUGUCUGUGUGUGAACUGAUGACCUCUGAGCCUUCAACCCUUGACUUGAACCUUCAAAUGGACCCCAAGUCAUGUGAUCUUGUUGGACAAACCCUAGGCCUUGCUCCUGAGAAAUGCACUUGCUUGCUUGGUUGACUGAUCUCCUGAUCAGUUUGACCUAAUUCCUUGAUUGGCUUGCACUGAGGCAAAUGAGGCAAUGCAAUGCUAUGCAAUGGACCAUGAUAUGCUAGACCUAAUAUGAAAAUGUAUGUACAAUGAUAGGUGCAAAUUUGAGUGCUACAAUAUGCCUAAGUGAAACAAAGUUGCUCUGAUUUGCCUCUGUUCUAAGUUGGAUGAUUGUAAAAGUGAUUCGAGUUUCUAUUUAUAAGCAAGUAAAAAGAUGGAAAUGACAAGGAUGCCCUCAACUUGAAAAAUGGGAGGGAAAACUUUCCUCUUGUGGCGCCGCCACAAGGCCAAUGGCGCCCGCCACAAGGCCAAUCUGAGGCGCCUUAGUGGAAGUAGUGGGGAACGUGGAAGUUGAGGGAAGUUGAGCUUGGACAUGUCAUGCAGGGUCUAUGGCGCGCAGCCAUGGGGUAGGCCACAAGUACAAAAUGCUGAAAUUUUAGGGUUUUUAGCUCUUUUUCACUCCUUUUCUCGAUCGGGGCUCCGAUUAAAGUAAAAACCUGAAAAUAA